AUUGAACGCUGGCGGCAUGCCUUACACAUGCAAGUCGAACGGCAGCACGGGGGCAACCCUGGUGGCGAGUGGCGAACGGGUGAGUAACAUAUCGGAACAUACCCUAGAGUGGGGGAUAACGUAGCGAAAGUUACGCUAAUACCGCAUACGAUCUAAGGAUGAAAGUGGGGGAUCUUCGGACCUCAUGCUCAUGGAGUGGCCGAUAUCUGAUUAGCUAGUUGGUGAGGUAAAGGCUCACCAAGGCGACGAUCAGUAGCUGGUUUGAGAGAACGACCAGCCACACUGGAACUGAGACACGGUCCAGACUCCUACGGGAGGCAGCAGUGGGGAAUUUUGGACAAUGGGGGCAACCCUGAUCCAGCAAUGCCGCGUGAGUGAAGAAGGCCUCGGGUUGUAAA
This 398-nucleotide ribosomal RNA is filed under the name uncultured bacterium. RNAcentral describes it as "bacterial SSU rRNA". It matches the Rfam family "Bacterial small subunit ribosomal RNA", at positions 30 to 429 of the family's 1533-position model. The record is from RNAcentral.